RNAcentral lists this ribosomal RNA (517 nucleotides) under uncultured bacterium. RNAcentral's name for it is "bacterial SSU rRNA". It matches the Rfam family "Bacterial small subunit ribosomal RNA", at positions 18 to 518 of the family's 1533-position model. The record is from RNAcentral.
UAUGGCUCAGAUUGAACGCUGGCGGCGUGCUUAACACAUGCAAGUCGAACGCGAAAGGGACUUCGGUCCUGAGUAAAGUGGCGCACGGGUGAGUAACGCGUGGAUAAUCUGCCCUUAUGAUCGGGAUAACAGUUGGAAACGGCUGCUAAUACCGGAUACGCUCAAAAUGAACUUUUUGAGGAAAGAUGGCCUCUGCUUGCAUGCUAUCACGUAAGGAUGAGUCCGCGUCCCAUUAGCUUGUUGGCGGGGUAACGGCCCACCAAGGCAACGAUGGGUAGCCGAUUUGAGAGGAUGAUCGGCCACACUGGAACUGAAACACGGUCCAGACUCCUACGGGAGGCAGCAGUGGGGAAUAUUGCGCAGUGGGCGAAAGCCUGACGCAGCGACGCCGCGUGAGGGAUGAAGGUUUUCGGAUCGUAAACCUCUGUCAGAAGGGAAGAAACUACGUUGUGCUAAUCAGCAGCGUACUGACGGUACCUUCAAAGGAAGCACCGGCUAACUCCGUGCCAGCCGCGGC